UGAGGAAUAUUGGUCAAUGGGCGAGAGCCUGAACCAGCCAAGUAGCGUGCAGGAUGACGGCCCUAUGGGUUGUAAACUGCUUUUAUGUGGGGAUAAAGUGCGUGACGUGUCAUGCAUUGCAGGUACCACAUGAAUAAGGACCGGCCAAUUCCGUGCCAGCAGCCGCGGUAAUACGGAAGGUCCGGGCGUUAUCCGGAUUUAUUGGGUUUAAAGGGAGCGUAGGCUGUCUAUUAAGCGUGUUGUGAAAUUUACCGGCUCAACCGGUGGCUUGCAGCGCGAACUGGUCGACUUGAGUAUGCAGGAAGUAGGCGGAAUUCAUGGUGUAGCGGUGAAAUGCUUAGAUAUCAUGACGAACUCCGAUUGCGCAGGCAGCUUACUGUAGCAUAACUGACGCUGAUGCUCGAAAGUGCGGGUAUCAAACAGG
This 424-nucleotide ribosomal RNA is filed under the name Fusobacteriota bacterium. Its description in RNAcentral is "Fusobacteria bacterium partial 16S ribosomal RNA". It matches the Rfam family "Bacterial small subunit ribosomal RNA", at positions 355 to 776 of the family's 1533-position model. The record is from RNAcentral. Lineage: Bacteria; Fusobacteriati; Fusobacteriota.